AGAGUUUGAUCCUGGCUCAGGAUGAACGCUGGCGGCGUGCUUAACACAUGCAAGUCGAACGAACCUUCGGGUUAGUGGCGGACGGGUGAGUAACGCGUGAGAAUCUGCCCUCAGGAGGGGGACAACAGCUGGAAACGGCUGCUAAUACCCCAUAUGCCGAGAGGUGAAAUGAAUUUCGCCUGAGGAUGAGCUCGCGUCUGAUUAGCUAGUUGGUGAGGUAAAGGCUCACCAAGGCAUCGAUCAGUAGCUGGUCUGAGAGGAUGAUCAGCCACACUGGGACUGAGACACGGCCCAGACUCCUACGGGAGGCAGCAGUGGGGAAUUUUCCGCAAUGGGCGAAAGCCUGACGGAGCAACGCCGCGUGAGGGAUGAAGGCCUCUGGGCUGUAAACCUCUUUUCUCAAGGAAGAAGAUCUGACGGUACUUGAGGAAUAAGCCACGGCUAAUUCCGUGCCAGCAGCCGCGGUAAUACGGGAGUGGCAAGCGUUAUCCGGAAUUAUUGGGCGUAAAGCGUCCGCAGGCGGCCCAUCAAGUCUGCUGUUAAAAAGUGGAGCUUAACUCCAUCAUGGCAGUGGAAACUGUUGGGCUAGAGUGUGGUAGGGGCAGAGGGAAUUCCCGGUGUAGCGGUGAAAUGCGUAGAUAUCGGGAAGAACACCAGUGGCGAAGGCGCUCUGCUGGGCCAUAACUGACGCUCAUGGACGAAAGCCAGGGGAGCGAAAGGGAUUAGAUACCCCUGUAGUCCUGGCCGUAAACGAUGAACACUAGGUGUCGGGGGAAUCGACCCCCUCGGUGUCGUAGCCAACGCGUUAAGUGUUCCGCCUGGGGAGUACGCACGCAAGUGUGAAACUCAAAGGAAUUGACGGGGGCCCGCACAAGCGGUGGAGUAUGUGGUUUAAUUCGAUGCAACGCGAAGAACCUUACCAGGGUUUGACAUCCUGCGAAUUUCUGGGAAACCGGAAAGUGCCUUCGGGAGCGCAGUGACAGGUGGUGCAUGGCUGUCGUCAGCUCGUGUCGUGAGAUGUUGGGUUAAGUCCCGCAACGAGCGCAACCCACGUCUUUAGUUGCCAGCAUUUAGUUGGGCACUCUAGAGAGACCGCCGGUGAUAAACCGGAGGAAGGUGUGGAUGACGUCAAGUCAUCAUGCCCCUUACAUCCUGGGCUACACACGUACUACAAUGCUACGGACAAAGGGCAGCAAACUCGCGAGAGCUAGCAAAUCCCAUAAACCGUGGCUCAGUUCAGAUCGUAGGCUGCAACUCGCCUACGUGAAGGAGGAAUCGCUAGUAAUCGCAGGUCAGCAUACUGCGGUGAAUACGUUCCCGGGCCUUGUACACACCGCCCGUCACACCAUGGAAGUUGGCCACGCCCGAAGCCGUUACUCCAACCCUUGUGGAGGAGGACGUCGAAGGUGGGGCUGAUGACUGGGGUGAAGUCGUAACAAGGUAACC
Molecule: ribosomal RNA, 1446 nt
Filed under: uncultured bacterium
Lineage: Bacteria
Description: bacterial SSU rRNA
Rfam family: Bacterial small subunit ribosomal RNA
Source: RNAcentral